CCUACGGGGAGCAGCAGUGAGGAAUAUUGCACAAUGGGGGAAACCCUGAUGCAGCGACGCCGCGUGAGUGAAGAAGUAUUUCGGUACGUAAAGCUCUAUCAGCAGGGAAGAAAAUGACGGUACCUGACUAAGAAGCCCCGGCUAACUACGUGCCAGCAGCCGCGGUAAUACGUAGGGGGCAAGCGUUAUCCGGAUUUACUGGGUGUAAAGGGAGCGUAGACGGCAGCGCAAGUCUGGAGUGAAAUCCCAUGGCUUAACCAUGGAACUGCUUUGGAAACUGUGCAGCUAGAGUGCAGGAGAGGUAAGCGGAAUUCCUAGUGUAGCGGUGAAAUGCGUAGAUAUUAGGAGGAACACCAGUGGCGAAGGCGGCUUACUGGACUGUAACUGACGUUGAGGCUCGAAAGCGUGGGGAGCAAACAGGAUUAGAUACCCGAGUAGUC
This 440-nucleotide ribosomal RNA is filed under the name uncultured bacterium. Its description in RNAcentral is "partial 16S ribosomal RNA". It matches the Rfam family "Bacterial small subunit ribosomal RNA", at positions 338 to 795 of the family's 1533-position model. The record is from RNAcentral.